AAGUCGUAACAAGGUUUCCGUAGGUGAACCUGCGGAAGGAUCAUUAUUGAAAAUAAAAAAGGUUAUUGAGGUGUUUAUGUUGCUGGCCUUUAACAAGAGGCAUGUGCACUGUUCACUGAUUGACCAAUUUUGUUUAUCCACCUGUGCACCUUUUGUAGGAGUUCUCGUCAUUUUUGGCUUUCAGGUUGUAAGACCUUGUUAGUUGAUUUGAUAAGACUUCUAUGUCUUUACAAACCUAUUAAAGUAUGUUUAGAAUGUUGUUUUACUGGGGCUUUAUUGACCCUUUAAACUUUGUACAACUUUCAGCAACGGAUCUCUUGGCUCUCC
RNAcentral lists this unclassified non-coding RNA (327 nucleotides) under Rhodocollybia prolixa. Its description in RNAcentral is "partial internal transcribed spacer region". The stretch from base 1 to 46 matches the Rfam family "Eukaryotic small subunit ribosomal RNA", at positions 1786 to 1831 of the family's 1831-position model. Lineage: Eukaryota; Fungi; Basidiomycota; Agaricomycetes; Agaricales; Omphalotaceae. The record is from RNAcentral.